This 440-nucleotide ribosomal RNA is filed under the name uncultured bacterium. RNAcentral's name for it is "partial 16S ribosomal RNA". It matches the Rfam family "Bacterial small subunit ribosomal RNA", at positions 338 to 795 of the family's 1533-position model. The record is from RNAcentral.
CCUACGGGUGGCAGCAGUGGGGAAUAUUGCACAAUGGGGGAAACCCUGAUGCAGCGACGCCGCGUGAAGGAAGAAGGAUUUCGGGAUGUAAACUUCUAUCAGCAGGGAAGAAAGUGACGGUACCUGUCUAAGAAGCCCCGGCUAACUACGUGCCAGCAGCCGCGGUAAUACGUAGGGGGCAAGCGUGAUCCGGAUUUACGGGGGGUAGAGGGAGCGUAGGCGGCGAUGCAAGUCAGAAGUGAAAGCCCGGGGCUCAACCCCGGGACUGCUUGUGAAACUGUAUGGCUAGAUUGCAGGAGAGGCAAGUGGAAUUCCUAGUGUAGCGGUGAAAUGCGUAGAUAUUAGGAGGAACACCAGUGGCGAAGGCGGCCUGCUGGACUGUAAAUGACGCUGAGGCUCGAAAGCGUGGGGAGCAAACAGGAUUAGAUACCCCUGUAGUC